This 2723-nucleotide unclassified non-coding RNA is filed under the name Leishmania donovani. Its description in RNAcentral is "gene:unknown". Lineage: Eukaryota; Euglenozoa; Kinetoplastea; Trypanosomatida; Trypanosomatidae. The record is from RNAcentral.
CAAAAACAUGCCGGCCCAGUUUGUUUCGCCGCCAAGGCAACCACAAACCGAGUUCACAAACUCAUAUUUUUGCGCAGAGAACGCGUGUAGGAGGCGAGCGGGCUCGGACCCAUUUCUCACCGAGAGCAUUGGUGUCGAUGAUGCAUGGGCGAGGGCGCGCCAAAGGAGUUUUUGGGCACCCGCAGGCAAAGCAGGCGGGGACGGAACCGGACAUCGGUAAAGGACUCCUGGGGGUCAUGUUUUCUCCUCCUUCCAGUGCUAUAUUGACGCCUUUUGCCUGCGCUUACCGUGGCCUUGGCAGAGCGCUUGGGCAGCGAGGAUUUUGAAAACAUGCAAAAAGACUCCAACCUUUUGUGUCAGUGUCUGAAACGAAUUCGAUUGAGCGGCUGAGUAACUUUUUAUGGCCGCUUACGAGCAUCCGAAUCGGGCUACACCAUGAUGCCGAAAGAGAGGGCGCUUACCUCGGCAAGGGCGUAAGUUCGUCAUAUCACCGCACUCUAAAAAGAAAAGCCUUUGCACUCCAAAAGAAAAGUCGUGGCUCGAUUUGUUUACUGCCUCGAUCAAAAAUGGCAGGCCACACAGGACGCUUCUUUAAGAGCUUGCUUUUCACCGGUCCUGCCAUCCAUCUUUCCACUGGCUCAACCGAGGCUUUGUGGCCCCAGAAAAUCAUUUUCAAAAGCACAAAUGUUGUUUCUUUACUCCGGGCAGAAAAGUAGCCUUUGGUUUCAGACACAACUUCGUGGUGUUCGUGGCAAAGGGCGCUUCAGGGGCCCCGUGCGCCAGCUUUGCUCCAGGGAAAUCCGGCAGCUCCCUCCCCCACCCCCUGCCAAGUGCCGAGCCGCUUCUGGUGGUGACGGGGUCAGGUACCUACGCCGCAGGGGGGAGGGUUAAGAGCGAUGUGUCGCUGCUGGUGCCGGCGGUGGCGUCCUGGAUGACGUUGCAUCGGAGUGGCCCGCGACAGCGAGGCAGAUCUGUAUCCAUCCACAUGAUGGGUAGAGCGUCAUCGUGACCCGGGCGUCUCCCACCCGGCCCGGCCCUCACACCGCCCACUGGUGUGGGUGGGGUGCCCGAGCGCCACCGCGAGGGGGAUGCGCCCGGUGGCGGCAGGCAUGGUGGGCGCGGCUGCGCGGCGCCCCGCGAAGCGUGGGCUGUGGGCGUUGGUGGGGGCCGUGCUCUCCGAUGGCUGGGCCAGCGCGUUGCUGUGGCGCGUGUGCGUCUACGGCUGCCAUCGGCCCACGCGAGGUUGGGCCUGUGACGGAGGAGGAGGUGUAGACAGGCGUUCGACCUCGUGUUGUGUAGCAGAGAAGGACACGUGCGAAAACAGAUGAGCUUCGGAACUUCUGUAACCGCUGCAAAGCAUAUGUGUGUUAUAGAUGGUUACCGGCGUCGGAUCGAGGGAACGUGAUUGAGGAGGUGGAGCUCGGUGGGAGAGGAUCGUUGGUGUUCCAGGAUGUGAUCAGCCUGUCGUGGUCGAAAGCCUUGCCAGCAAGGGAGUUGUUUGACUGUGUUGAGUUUACCUCGAGAGCUAGUGUCUGCUCGAACGAAGGGAGGAAAGAGGUUUUGAUUCUACUGUAAGAAGUCGUUUUGGGGUUGCGUUGCUUUGGAUGUGAUGGCUGUGCACGGUGCAGGACGCAUGCUUUAGGGGAUGGUCCGCGGGGAGCUGAUUCGCUGGUGGGAGGGGUGCUCGACGUGGCGGAGCUCAUUGUAUACUGGAUGCUUGGGGUUUACUGCACAGAUCUCAGCCUGUUCUCAACAAUGGACUAAACACAAUCCCUGGAAACCUUACGAAUUCGACAUUUUUCUUCGCUUGCUGGCGCUGCUGUCGGCUUGCUUCAAUUCUGGCGGCCUUCAAUGUUUUAUUUCGAAGAGGAUCUUUGGGCCGUUCAACUGAACAGUCACUUGGAUGAUUGCUGACCCUUGGCUGCAAUGGUGGGUAGGCUUGUUGUUUGUGAGACGGCUGAGGGACUGCCUUGGUUUGCAUUGUGGAGUGACGGAGGUGGAGGGAGUUUUUAUCGAAAAAUGUGGUUCUUUGAGUGGGUGCGAAGGGUUAUAGGUAGUCGCUGUACCCUAUCUGUGAUUUGAAAAUAAAGCGAAGCUUGUGGAUGUGUGGUCGACGUACCACUGCUGUUGGGUUUUCUUUAAUGUUGUUAUGGUCGCAGUGAACGGGAAACUAUGGUGCGCGUGUCGUUUCAAGGGGCAGGCACAGUGCGUCAAUCGACUCACUGGGGAAGCAAUAAGUGGUACAGCGCCGAGACAUCACUAAAAAGCAAUGCCUGAAGCUUUUCACAGCUUCUUGCACAAAACGCAGGCGCAUAGCGUAUUGAAAUCGAUGCUGCCCACGUACAGGCGGGGAGUGUCUGCUUUCUCAAGUAUCCACCACGGAACUCAACUUUUACAACACAUUUACCAACUGUCCACUAUUUCCACUUUUUUCUUACCUUUCUUCUUAAUCAGUCGCAAAGGUGACUCUUGGAGACAGCACUAGCGAUGGACUUUCAAUUUAUCAAUGACUCGGAUGUACUGUUGCCAGUCACCAGUGUGGUGGUUGCCGCAGCGAUCGCGUUGCUCAUUGGAAGGUGUAUUCCACUCAAGGGAACGCUGAGUAGCGGCAACUCUGAGGGUCGUGACACAGGGGAUAUGAUACUGGAGUUGGAAAGGCCCUGUUCACAGACGCAUUCACACUGGCGAAAGUAGCUGUGGUCUAUUUGACGGAUCAAAAAGAG